GGCACCGCUGGUUGAUGCUAAACAUUGAAAAUCUUCUGACAGUGAUCACAUCUUUUGACAAAAUUGGAAGUAUCAUUUUGCAUCGAAGGCCAAUAAUAACCUUAUCAGAGGAUUUUGUAAGAAAAUACCUUUGCACCUAAAUAAUUUUCAUAAAUUCCCUCGUGGACCUCUUUUAGUGCGUAGUCUGCCUCGGACGGUCGCAAACUCCUCA
RNAcentral lists this long non-coding RNA (211 nucleotides) under Elaeis guineensis (African oil palm). RNAcentral describes it as "long non-coding RNA (EGUI_LNC016661)". The record is from RNAcentral. Lineage: Eukaryota; Viridiplantae; Streptophyta; Magnoliopsida; Arecales; Arecaceae.